UGCCGGACGGCGUAACGCCAGCGCAACCGACUCUGGAUCAGUUAGGCAAGGUUCGAAUCCUUCUCCGGCAG
Molecule: transfer RNA, 71 nt
Filed under: Actinomycetota bacterium
Lineage: Bacteria; Bacillati; Actinomycetota
Description: tRNA-Gln
Rfam family: tRNA
About the family: Transfer RNA (tRNA) molecules are approximately 80 nucleotides in length. Their secondary structure includes four short double-helical elements and three loops (D, anti-codon, and T loops). Further hydrogen bonds mediate the characteristic L-shaped molecular structure. tRNAs have two regions of fundamental functional importance: the anti-codon, which is responsible for specific mRNA codon recognition, and the 3' end, to which the tRNAs corresponding amino acid is attached (by aminoacyl-tRNA synthetases). tRNAs cope with the degeneracy of the genetic code in two manners: having more than one tRNA (with a specific anti-codon) for a particular amino acid; and 'wobble' base-pairing, i.e. permitting non-standard base-pairing at the 3rd anti-codon position.
Source: RNAcentral